AUGGUUCUAUUGUUUUACAAAGAGCAAGACUUCAAAAAAUCCUUUGCUCUAUGCACCAGUGUCACUGUCCCCUUUUCUAUCAUAUGGAAUGGUCACUGGGGAGUAGCUUCACAUCAGGCACUACACCUUCAAGCCUCCUUUGUAGCCAGAUGGGGAUGUGAACCUGUCUGUGCCUGUUGGAUGUGAGUGGAAGUGAUAGGGUCACUUCUAGCCCAAGGCAGCUGAAAAGCAGGUACAUCACUCAACUCUCCAACCACCCACCAUCUGCUGAAUGAUGUGGAGGACUCAGGCCCAAGGGGAUGGGGAAGGUGAUAUAGCAGGUAGUUAGUCAGGCGUGAGUGGGGCAGUAAAGGGCUCCCCACAGCCCAGCCAACCGGGAAUGUCAGGCCACCAUCAGAUGAUGGUCCGGCAGUUAUCGCUGGCUCUCUAAAAUGAUGAUUGGUCACAGCUGAUACCAGGGAGAGGCCGUUUCCUGAUGGUCCAGCAGUUGUCACACUGAUUCUCUAA
This 507-nucleotide long non-coding RNA is filed under the name Papio anubis (olive baboon). RNAcentral's name for it is "lncRNA (ENSPANG00000051421.1)". Lineage: Eukaryota; Metazoa; Chordata; Mammalia; Primates; Cercopithecidae. The record is from RNAcentral.